RNAcentral lists this ribosomal RNA (253 nucleotides) under uncultured bacterium. RNAcentral describes it as "partial 16S ribosomal RNA". It matches the Rfam family "Bacterial small subunit ribosomal RNA", at positions 524 to 776 of the family's 1533-position model. The record is from RNAcentral.
UACGAAGGGGGCUAGCGUUGCUCGGAAUUACUGGGCGUAAAGCGCACGUAGGCGGAUUGUUAAGUCGGGGGUGAAAUCCUGGAGCUCAACUCCAGAACUGCCUUCGAUACUGGCGAUCUCGAGUUCGGGAGAGGUGAGUGGAACUGCGAGUGUAGAGGUGGAAUUCGUAGAUAUUCGCAAGAACACCAGUGGCGAAGGCGGCUCACUGGCCCGAUACUGACGCUGAGGUGCGAAAGUGUGGGGAGCGAUCCGG